AUUGAACGCUGGCGGCAUGCUUUACACAUGCAAGUCGAACGGUAACAGGCCGCAAGGUGCUGACGAGUGGCGAACGGGUGAGUAAUGCAUCGGAACGUGCCCAGUCGUGGGGGAUAACUACUCGAAAGAGUAGCUAAUACCGCAUACGAUCUAUGGAUGAAAGCGGGGGACCGUAAGGCCUCGCGCGAUUGGAGCGGCCGAUGUCAGAUUAGGUAGUUGGUGGGGUAAAGGCUCACCAAGCCAACGAUCUGUAGCUGGUCUGAGAGGACGACCAGCCACACUGGGACUGAGACACGGCCCAGACUCCUACGGGAGGCAGCAGUGGGGAAUUUUGGACAAAGGGCGCAAGCCUGAUGCAGCAAUGCCGCGUGCAGGAAGAAGGCCUUCGGGUUGUAAACUGCUUUUGUACGGAACGAAACGGCUCUGGUUAAUACCCGGGGCUAAUGACGGUACCGUAAGAAUAAGCACCGGCUAACUACGUG
This 482-nucleotide ribosomal RNA is filed under the name uncultured bacterium. RNAcentral's name for it is "partial 16S ribosomal RNA". It matches the Rfam family "Bacterial small subunit ribosomal RNA", at positions 30 to 507 of the family's 1533-position model. The record is from RNAcentral.